CUGGAAGUCACUGAAAUAGGCUGCGGUGUAUUCUCAGCUGAUUCCUGGGCAGUGGUGGUUUUUCAGCUACCAUAUCUUCAGAAGGGCAUUGGCAAGCUUUGGAAGAUUCUGAUCAGGGAGAACAAGAUCCCCAAAACUGUAGAAACCACAUAAUAUGAAGAUAUGUUGUGGAAACUUGGCAUUUUAUCCUGAAGAAGAGAAGCCUCAGAGGACACAUUAUAGGUAUGAAUGCCUUUCCCACGGAAGGAUGAUCCCAGAAUUCAGUGGAAGUUACAGGGAGGUAGAUUUCAGCUUCAUAUAAGGAGAACCAUCAUAAAAAACAAAACUGUUCAAAACAAAACAAAACAAAAAAUGGAAUGUUCUGCCUUGGGAGAGAGUGAGUGAGUUCCUGGAUAGGCUUGAGAAGAGGUUGGAAGACCAUCUGUGAGGGAUGCUGUGCAAAGGAUUUUUGCUUGGGUGGGAGGUUGGCCUUGCUGACCCCUGAGAUCCCUUUCAACUACAACAGUCCUCAGUUCUACAAUUAAUGAAAAGAAAUCUCUUCUAACUACAACACAGCAAAAGGCAAAGCCAGCAAUCAAAAGGAAAAGUUGUCUGGGUACAAGCCAGGAUGAUUCAGCAUCUCCAGGGGAGCACCAAGGGGAGGAACAGAGAGAAUGCCUCUGGGAACAUAGCUGGACAGGCAACAACCCGUUAUCCUGAGGAGGGAUCCAUAGUAUUCACCAGACUGCGAAGAGGACUAUGACACAAACAAGGUGAAGAAACUGGGUUUAAACUGCUGAGAUCUUUUUAGAUCCUGAAUCUGUCAACUGGCAUAUUAGCUCUCCCUUCCAGCUUCUUGACAUCCACAAAUUGGAUGAGCAUGCUAUAUGUGCUUUUAUAUAAGACUGAUAAAUUGAUUAAGCAGCACUGAAAAAAAGAAGAAAUUCCUGGGGCCUUCUA
Molecule: long non-coding RNA, 939 nt
Organism: Dromiciops gliroides (monito del monte)
Lineage: Eukaryota; Metazoa; Chordata; Mammalia; Microbiotheria; Microbiotheriidae
Exons: 3
Source: RefSeq, a predicted model, not a curated record